Molecule: ribosomal RNA, 210 nt
Filed under: Listeria monocytogenes
Lineage: Bacteria; Bacillati; Bacillota; Bacilli; Caryophanales; Listeriaceae
Description: partial 23S ribosomal RNA
Rfam family: Bacterial large subunit ribosomal RNA
Source: RNAcentral
AGUAAAUUGGUUAAGUUAGAAAGGGCGCACGGUGGAUGCCUUGGCACUAGGAGCCGAAGAAGGACGGGACUAACACCGAUAUGCUUUGGGGAGCUGUACGUAAGCGUUGAUCCAGAGAUUUCCGAAUGGGGGAACCCACUAUCUUUAGUCGGAUAGUAUCCUUACGUGAAUACAUAGCGUGAGGAAGGCAGACCCAGGGAACUGAAACAU